GCGGAACCCUCUCCACCAGGCUCCGCGUCGAGGCCCUACGGGGCGUCAAUACGCACGCGUACUUUGUGUCCCAGGUAGCUCGUCUCUUAGCCAUGUACGCCUCUGCAUUCCGGUCACUGGGAGCGGGGCCGUGGGGGCUGCACAUGCGCACUGCGAGUCCUCGCCUACUCCCAGAAACCACCCGGGCGCAUACGCGGUGCGGCCGCUGCUUCAGGUCGGCGGGCUCCAGGGAGACCUGGGUGGGCAGCGUCGCCGUUUCUCCUUUCUUGGGCAGUAUUUUUCCCAGCGCCACGCGGAGGCUGGGCCAUUAUGAGGUUUGUGUUGCGUCGGGGCGGUCCGUCUCAGAGGCGCUCCGGGGAGGAGUGGGCGGCUGAAUGGCCAGAGGCCCAGGGAUCCGUUCAGCUCUGCAUUUCCAGGACCUGGUCACUAUUCAGGACACGGUUCCAGCGCAGUGCGCGUUAGCCAUGUCUCAGGUAAGUUUUUGUCCUGCAACAUCAUAGGUUUUAAGUCCUGGGCACAUCUAAUUUUGCUUACUUGGGUGGUAAAGACUGACACCGGUACAAG
Molecule: long non-coding RNA, 564 nt
Filed under: Homo sapiens (human)
Lineage: Eukaryota; Metazoa; Chordata; Mammalia; Primates; Hominidae
Description: non-protein coding lnc-ZNF583-4:6
Source: RNAcentral